AUUGAACGCUGGCGGCAUGCUUUACACAUGCAAGUCGAACGGUAACAGGGAAAAGCUUGCUUUUCUGCUGACGAGUGGCGAACGGGUGAGUAAUACAUCGGAACGUGCCCUGUAGUGGGGGAUAACUACUCGAAAGAGUGGCUAAUACCGCAUACAACCUGAGGGUAAAAGUGGGGGACCGCAAGGCCUCACGCUAUAGGAGCGGCCGAUGGAAGAUUAGGUAGUUGGUAGGGUAAAGGCCUACCAAGCCGACGAUCUUUAGCGGGUCUGAGAGGACGAUCCGCCACACUGGGACUGAGACACGGCCCAGACUCCUACGGGAGGCAGCAGUGGGGAAUUUUGGACAAUGGGGGCAACCCUGAUCCAGCAAUGCCGCGUGAGUGAAGAAGGCCUUCGGGUUGUAAAGCUCUUUUAUUAGGGUAAAAGGCAAUCGUGCUAAUACCACGGUUGUUUGAUGUUACCUGUUGAUAAGCCCGGCUAACUACGUGCCAGCAGCCGCGGUAAACGUAGCGUG
RNAcentral lists this ribosomal RNA (514 nucleotides) under uncultured bacterium. RNAcentral describes it as "bacterial SSU rRNA". It matches the Rfam family "Bacterial small subunit ribosomal RNA", at positions 30 to 534 of the family's 1533-position model. The record is from RNAcentral.